AAGUCGUAACAAGGUUUCCGCGAGGACAGGAUCCUUCUUGAAGCCUUUUGCACAACGACUAUAACCGUGUGCAUGGUCCUUCAUUUGAGGGCUACGUCACUAAAGUGCUGGAAUACAACCUUGUAAACCUGCAGCCAAUCAUGAAUUGAAUUUUAUGCUUGGUCCACAGAUUAGCUAGUGAUGGUCAAUAAGACGUUGAAUGUCAAGGGUCCCGGGAGAUAUCAUGGUUAAAGAUGUAAGAUUAUAUCAGCACGAUUAAGGGGAAUCCAGCAAAUCUGGGACCCAUGGAAGUCACGCUUGCAGCGAUACCCCCACUAGAAGAUCUUGCAUUGUAGCCAUAUCCUUGGGUCUUACAUUGGAUCCUUGUUGAUCAAGAUAUAAUCGGUCUUGUAAUGAUAAUUAUAACCGAGCAACGUUCCGUAGGUGAACCUGCGGAAGGAUCAUUA
This 446-nucleotide ribosomal RNA is filed under the name Verrucaria polysticta. RNAcentral's name for it is "partial small subunit ribosomal RNA". Lineage: Eukaryota; Fungi; Ascomycota; Eurotiomycetes; Verrucariales; Verrucariaceae. The record is from RNAcentral.